AUGCCAAAGAGCUGUUGUCGCACCAUCGCUACGAAGCUUUGUGAGCCGAAAAAAGCAUCCCUCAUCAUGGACGACGAAGCACAUAUCGUUGUGGCGUGUCGGCUGGGGCCCAACCCCGCGCAACUCGAGCCACAGAUCCAUAGUCUUCAAUCAAUGUUGUCCAUGAAGAAAAGCAGAACCGCCAUCCUGCAACCAUCAAGCAAGCGCUGGAACAACAUCCAAACUCUGCAAAUUGCCGCCGCCGUGAAAGACGAAGGACGCCGUCUGACUCCUAAACAUGACGACCCUAUAGGCCUCACAACGGCGUCGGAGCACACGCCGCCGCAACAGGGAGGAAGCCGGAGGACACACAUCCAUAGCUUGGUCGAUGCCGCCGCCUCGUCUACCAAGCCUGAAAACAAAAGCCUCAAUGGACGAACCAUCCGACGAGAAAGAUGA
Molecule: ribosomal RNA, 438 nt
Filed under: Triticum aestivum (bread wheat)
Lineage: Eukaryota; Viridiplantae; Streptophyta; Magnoliopsida; Poales; Poaceae
Description: partial small subunit ribosomal RNA
Source: RNAcentral